AUCUUGAUCUACUGUUACGUGUCAUGUUUUGAUUGGAUAUCGAAUCCAUAAAAGAUGAAAUGCAUUAACUUGUCAUUGGUCAAUUAGAAUAAAACACAAUUAGAAUAAGACAUGUGACCGUCAUUAUCC
This is a non-coding RNA of Glycine max (soybean), 129 nucleotides long. Lineage: Eukaryota; Viridiplantae; Streptophyta; Magnoliopsida; Fabales; Fabaceae. The record is from Rfam.